AUCAACUUUCGAUGGUAGGAUAGAGGCCUACCAUGGUGGUAACGGGUAACGGGGUGUUAGGGCACGACACCGGAGAGGGAGCCUGAGAAACGGCUACCACAUCCAAGGAUGGCAGCAGGCGCGCAAAUUACCCAAUCCCGACACAGGGAGGUAGUAACAAUAAAUAACAAUACGGGGUUCUUCCAGAUUUCGUAAUUGGAAUGAGUACAAUUUAAAUCUCUUAACGAGGAACAAUUGGAGGACAAGUCUGGUGCCAGCAGCCGCGGUAAUUCCAGCUCCAAUAGCGUAUAUUAAAGUUGCUGCAGUUAAAAAGCUCGUAGUUGAAUUUCGGGACCACUAUGUCGGUCGUGCUUCGGUACGUACUGUCAUUAUUGGUUUCUCCCUUCUGAAGAACCUUGAUGUCAUUAAUUUGGUGUCUUGGGGAAUCAGGACUGUUACUUUGAAAAAAUUAGAGUGUUUAAAGCAGGCUCGCGCUUGAAUACAUUAGCAUGGAAUAAUGAAAUAGGACGUUUGAUUCUAUUUUGUUGGUUUCUAGGAUCGACGUAAUGAUUAAUAGGGAUAGUUGGGGGCAUUAGUAUUCAAUUGUCAGAGGUGAAAUUCUUGGAUUUAUUGAAGACUAACUACUGCGAAAGCAUUUGCCAAGGAUGUUUUCAUUAAUCAAGAACGAAAGUUAGGGGAUCGAAGACGAUCAGAUACCGUCGUAGUCUUAACCAUAAACUAUGCCGACUAGGGAUCGGAUGAUGUUAAUUUUUUAAUGACUCAUUCGGCGCCUUACGGGAAACCAAAGUGUUUGGGUUC
This 798-nucleotide ribosomal RNA is filed under the name uncultured Glomus. RNAcentral's name for it is "SSU rRNA". It matches the Rfam family "Eukaryotic small subunit ribosomal RNA", at positions 314 to 1114 of the family's 1831-position model. Lineage: Eukaryota; Fungi; Glomeromycota; Glomeromycetes; Glomerales; Glomeraceae. The record is from RNAcentral.